This 496-nucleotide ribosomal RNA is filed under the name uncultured Roseobacter CE58. Its description in RNAcentral is "bacterial SSU rRNA". It matches the Rfam family "Bacterial small subunit ribosomal RNA", at positions 545 to 1041 of the family's 1533-position model. Lineage: Bacteria; Pseudomonadati; Pseudomonadota; Alphaproteobacteria; Rhodobacterales; Roseobacteraceae. The record is from RNAcentral.
UCGGAAUUACUGGGCGUAAAGCGCACGUAGGCGGAUCAGAAAGUUGGGGGUGAAAUCCCGGGGCUCAACCCCGGAACUGCCUCCAAAACUCCUGGUCUAGAGUUCGAGAGAGGUGAGUGGAAUUCCGAGUGUAGAGGUGAAAUUCGUAGAUAUUCGGAGGAACACCAGUGGCGAAGGCGGCUCACUGGCUCGAUACUGACGCUGAGGUGCGAAAGUGUGGGGAGCAAACAGGAUUAGAUACCCUGGUAGUCCACACCGUAAACGAUGAAUGCCAGACGUUGGGCAGUAUACUGUUCGGUGUCACACCUAACGGAUUAAGCAUUCCGCCUGGGGAGUACGGUCGCAUGAUUAAAACUCAAAGGAAUUGACGGGGGCCCGCACAAGCGGUGGAGCAUGUGGUUUAAUUCGACGCAACGCGAAGAACCUUACCUGGGUUUGACAUCCCGAUCGCACCUUAGAAACAUAGGGGUCAGUUUGCUGGAUCGGUGACAGGUGC